Molecule: ribosomal RNA, 914 nt
Filed under: Pyrenophora dematioidea
Lineage: Eukaryota; Fungi; Ascomycota; Dothideomycetes; Pleosporales; Pleosporaceae
Description: LSU rRNA
Rfam family: Eukaryotic large subunit ribosomal RNA
Source: RNAcentral
CUAAGCAUAUCAAUAAGCGGAGGAAAAGAAACCAACAGGGAUUGCCCUAGUAACGGCGAGUGAAGCGGCAACAGCUCAAAUUUGAAAUCUGGCUCUUUCAGGGUCCGAGUUGUAAUUUGCAGAGGGCGCUUUGGCUUUGGCAGCGGUCCAAGUUCCUUGGAACAGGACGUCACAGAGGGUGAGAAUCCCGUACGUGGUCGCUAGCUAUUGCCGUGUAAAGCCCCUUCGACGAGUCGAGUUGUUUGGGAAUGCAGCUCUAAAUGGGAGGUAAAUUUCUUCUAAAGCUAAAUACUGGCCAGAGACCGAUAGCGCACAAGUAGAGUGAUCGAAAGAUGAAAAGCACUUUGGAAAGAGAGUCAAACAGCACGUGAAAUUGUUGAAAGGGAAGCGCUUGCAGCCAGACUUGCUUGCAGUUGCUCAUCCGGACUUUUGUCCGGUGCACUCUUCUGCAGGCAGGCCAGCAUCAGUUUGGGCGGUGGGAUAAAGGUCUCUGUCACGUACCUCUCUUCGGGGAGGCCUUAUAGGGGAGACGACAUACCACCAGCCUGGACUGAGGUCCGCGCAUUUGCUAGGAUGCUGGCGUAAUGGCUGUAAGCGGCCCGUCUUGAAACACGGACCAAGGAGUCUAACAUCUAUGCGAGUGUUUGGGUGUCAAGCCCGAACGCGUAAUGAAAGUGAACGGAGGUGGGAACCCGCAAGGGUGCACCAUCGACCGAUCCUGAUGUCUUCGGAAGGAUUUGAGUAAGAGCAUGGCUGUUGGGACCCGAAAGAUGGUGAACUAUGCUUGAAUAGGGUGAAGCCAGAGGAAACUCUGGUGGAGGCUCGCAGCGGUUCUGACGUGCAAAUCGAUCGUCAAAUUUGGGCAUAGGGGCGAAAGACUAAUCGAACUAUCUAGUAGCUGGUUCCUGCCGAAG